Molecule: RNA transcript, 3709 nt
Organism: Orcinus orca (killer whale)
Lineage: Eukaryota; Metazoa; Chordata; Mammalia; Artiodactyla; Delphinidae
Gene: FUCA2
Gene name: alpha-L-fucosidase 2
Exons: 8
Source: RefSeq, a predicted model, not a curated record
UGCAAGUGAGCGAUGCCGGCCUCCUGUGGUCGUUCUGUUCCGGCGCCGGGACCGCGGCCACUCCCAUCCCAGAGAGGAGGGUGCCUCUCUCCUAGGACAGCUUGGUCAGGUGACCUUGGCGGCUCUUACUCAGCCAGGGACCCGGAAGGACGAGGGAUCAGGAGGCCGCGGGCGUGCGGGCAGGACGGCGGGCGCGGGGCCAUGAGGUCCCCGAAGCUGCCUGGGCUCGUACUCUCGCUGCUGCUGCUGCUGCCGCCGCCGGGUCCAGUUGGCGGCGCUGCGCGCUUCGACCCCACCUGGGAGUCCCUGGAUGCACGCCAGCUGCCCGCCUGGUUCGACCAGGCCAAGUUCGGCAUCUUCAUCCACUGGGGCGUGUUCUCCGUGCCCAGCUUCGGGAGCGAAUGGUUCUGGUGGUAUUGGCAAAAGGAAAAGUUACCGAGUUAUGUGGACUUUAUGAAAAAUAAUUACCCUCCUGAUUUCACAUACGCAGAUUUUGGACCACUGUUUACAGCAAAAUUUUUUGAUGCAAACCAGUGGGCAGAUAUUUUACAGGCUUCUGGUGCCAAAUAUGUUGUCUUAACUUCCAAACAUCAUGAAGGCUUCACCUUGUGGGGCUCAGAGCGUUCGUGGAAUUGGAAUGCUGUAGAUGAGGGGCCGAAGAAGGACAUUGUCAAGGAACUUGCAGUAGCUGUUAGGACCAGGACUGACCUGCGCUUUGGACUGUACUAUUCCCUUUUUGAAUGGUUUCAUCCGCUCUUCCUUGAGGAUGAAUCCAGCUCAUUCCAGAAACAACAAUAUCCACUGUCUAAGAUGCUGCCCGAGCUCUACGAGUUAGUGAACCAGUAUCAGCCUGAGGUCCUGUGGUCAGAUGGUGAUGGAGGGGCCCCAGAUACCUACUGGAACAGCACAGUCUUCCUAGCAUGGUUGUACAAUGAGAGCCCAGUUCGGGACACAGUGGUCACCAAUGACCGUUGGGGAGCUGGUAGCAUCUGUAAGCACGGUGGCUACUAUACCUGCAGUGAUCGUUAUAACCCAGGACAUCUUUUGCCACAUAAAUGGGAAAACUGCAUGACAAUAGACCAGUUUUCCUGGGGCUAUAGGAGGAAUGCUGGAAUCUCUGACUAUCUUACAAUUGAAGAAUUGGUGAAGCAACUUGUAGAAACAGUUUCAUGUGGAGGAAAUCUUUUGAUGAAUAUUGGGCCCACAAAAGAUGGCACCAUUUCUGCAAUUUUUGAGGAGCGAUUAAGGCAAAUGGGGACCUGGCUAAAAGUCAAUGGAGAAGCCAUCUAUGACACCCAUGCUUGGAGAUCCCAGAAUGACACUGUCACCCCAGAGGUAUGGUACACGUCCAAACCUAAAAACAAAUUGGUCUAUGCCAUGUUUCUCAAAUGGCCCACAUCAGGACAGCUGUUUCUUGGUCAGCCCAAAGCUACUCUGGGGGCAACAGAGGUUGAACUACUGGGACAUGGACAGCCACUUCAAUGGACUCCUUUGGAGCAAAAUGGCAUCAUGGUAGAACUGCCUCAGCUAACUGUUCAUCAGAUGCCCUGUAAGUGGGGCUGGGCUCUAGCACUAACUAAUGUGACCUGAUUUGCAGUAGAGUGCUUCCUGAUGCAGUUAUAUCUAAGACUAGAAUGUAUCAGGUUUCUAUAAUUGUAGCACACAGAGAAAGCAAAUGUAAAAUUGGCCCAGAAUUUCCUAAAUUACUCACAUAACUGGUUUAACUCUCCAGUGCACUUUGCUAUUGACGUCCCUUCACACUGAAUUUAUUUCCACGUGUGAUUCAGAGGUGGGGAUUUUGUUUCAGAGUAGUGAGGAAUUGGUGGUGUUAAGGACUGAGUUGUGUCUUCUGCCAAAUUCACAUGUUGAAGCCCUAAGCCCCAAUGUGAUUGUAUUUGGAGAUUUUAAAGAAGUAACUAAGGUUAAAUGAAGUCAUAAGAGUGGGACCUUAAUCCAAUAUGACUGGAGUCCUUAUAAGAAGAGGAAGAGCACGGAUGCAAGCAUAUGGAGGAAAGACCAUGUAAGGAUGCAGUGAGAAGGUAGCCAUCUGCAAGCCAAGGACAGAGGCCUCAAGAGAAACCAAACCUGCUGACACCUUGAUCUUUCAGCCUUCAGAACUGCAUUAUUCUGAGGAGGCGUCCACAGGCUUCUCCAGAUAGUGAAAGGAUCUAUGACAACAGAAACCAUUAAGUGCCCUGUGAGCAGCAGAGAAACAAGAAGUGAACCUAUCCUUUGUGUUCUCUCCUAAGCAUCAGAAAACCCAAGUGAGCUUAGGUAAGUCUUGUUCUCACAAAUUCAAGGUUAAAUUCUCUGAAUACCAUGUGGCAUUUUAACUCAUAGAAAUCAUAGUUAAAAAAAUUGGUGGAAGUCUUGUCAAUUAAUGGUCUAGUUUAUAAACUCAAUCUACAUCCAGUCACACUAAGAAAAUUUACUAAGCAUUAGUAUCAAUGAUGUUUUUACUAGGUUGAAACCUUUUGUCUUCAUUCUCAAUUAUACAGACUUUAAUUAAUGUAGAACAUAAAUUACUUAAGCACCAGAGCUGGUGUUGUAUUACGCUUAGCUGUAUUUCCCACUUGUCAAGAUGAACAGCUUACUGAUGAAGCCAGAGACUUCAUGAAAAUGGAGAAAGAUAAAGGUUUAAAUGCCAGAAGUUAUAACUUUUUUUCUCACACUAAUAUACAUGUAAAAAUUAAAAAAAAUAAACAGAAAAUUUAAAACUAAGUUUUUAAUUAAGAUUUUUUGAGCUUAAAUUAAGCUUAAAAUUAAGUGAAAUGAGAUCAGCCUUAUUCAUUCUUUCUUCUGAAAUAUGAAUGGCUAAUUCUCAUGGGUGAGAGGAUGACACAGAAGACUGAAGGAGUGAGGAAAAGUAGCAUGUUAAGGACAAGCUAAUGACACUAUACAGAGAAAGGAAGAAUUACAACCCAUAGUCUCAGGACUCUUCAUGUCCUCAAGUAGAAAUCCACAGAGAUAAACGAUACUGAGAAGAUGCCAUCUUUACACUUAGGCCUAGGGUCUCUUUGCACUGCACAUUAUGGCAGUGGUUUGGAACUGAGGUGUAUUGCGGGUAAUUUAUUACUUGUUGUACAGUUUCCAAGUUUGCAAGUGACUUGGAAAAAAACCUAUGGAUUCAAAGUUGUCCUUUUAAUAAAAUUAGUCUUACUCAAUGUAUUCUAAAAUGCUUUCCUAAGAAAGGAGAUGGAGUUAUAGGUAGUCUAAUGAAAAAUUUAAAUAACCUACUGAGUAUGCAGUUUUUAAUGAGCAGAUUAUUGGUGCACUAUUAAUUGUUGUAUUUAUUAGCUAUUAAGAUGCUUUACCUUUCCCAUAAAAAUUUUCAAUUUUUCCUCAAAAUGCGAGGAACUAGUUCGCUGAUUUGCCUCAAGGCUCAACUUUUCUACUAGCACAGCUUAAUGCAAAACAGUAACACUGUAAAUUCAACUGACCACUAGAAUGUAUUUGGACUAAAAUGUAGUCUGUCUAACACGUGUUGGACUAUAACAUGGAGAAAGGUAUUCCCAAACUCAUAAAAGUGCCAUGAUACAUUAUUACUCUCAUGGGUCAUGCUACCAUACUCUACAUGUGGUUUCAAGUUUUUGGUUUCUUUGAACAAAUAUCAUAGAAGAGAAAUGUAAUUUUAUGUUGGACAAAUAGGAUCACAACCAAGAGUACAGUCUGUUUUUAAUAAUACCCCCAAGCUUUCCUCUUACCUGAA